AAGAGAAGGAAAGAAUAUGAAUUAUCUAGAAAUUAACUUGGCCAACCAUGUCAGAGAAUUCUCACUAAAGGAGGUGUUUAUUUCUUGGAUAAAUGGGAGAUGUGUUUGUGAAAGAAGAGCAACAGCCUCUGACUUCCAUUUUUGACAUCCUGAUGCUGACCUUGAAGAUGGAAGACGCCAUGAACAAGGACCAGAGAGCCGUUUCUAGGAGCUAAGAACAACUCCCGGCCAAAGGCCAGCAAGGAAACAGGGAUCUCGGUCCCACAGCCAUAGGAAACUGUGUACUGCUAACAACCUGAGUGAGCUUGGAAGGGAUUCUUCUCCAGAGCCUCCAGAGAAGAGCUCCAUCUGGCUGAUACCCUGUGAGGCCCCAAGCAAAGAACCCCAUCAAACUUGCCUACACUUCUCACCUACAGGUCUAUAACUAACACAUGGAUGUUGUUACGCCUCUGAGUUUGCUAUGCUGCAAUAGAAAACGAAUACACGUUAUCUUACUUAAUCCUCACGACCUUCCAAAAUGGAGGGUGUCCCCAUUAUAUGGAUGACGGAACAGGUCAAUGAGG
This 563-nucleotide long non-coding RNA is filed under the name Suricata suricatta (meerkat). RNAcentral describes it as "lncRNA (ENSSSUG00005014651.1)". The record is from RNAcentral. Lineage: Eukaryota; Metazoa; Chordata; Mammalia; Carnivora; Herpestidae.